This 306-nucleotide ribosomal RNA is filed under the name uncultured bacterium. Its description in RNAcentral is "bacterial SSU rRNA". It matches the Rfam family "Bacterial small subunit ribosomal RNA", at positions 168 to 507 of the family's 1533-position model. The record is from RNAcentral.
AACACAUUAGUUAAAAAGAAGAAAUGCUCCGGCGCUUUGGGAUGGUCUCGCGAUCUAUCAGCUUGUUGGUGAGGUAACGGCUCACCAAGGCAUCGACGGAUAGCUGGUCUGAGAGGAUGUCCAGCCACAUUGGAACUGAGACACGGUCCAAACUCCUACGGGAGGCAGCAGUAGGGAAUCUUGCACAAUGAGGGAAACCUUGAUGCAGCGACGCCGCGUGCGGGACGAAGGCCCUAGGGUUGUAAACCGCUUUCAGUAGGGACGAAAGUGACGGUACCUACAGAAGAAGCCCCGGCCAACUAUGUG